Molecule: ribosomal RNA, 466 nt
Filed under: uncultured bacterium
Lineage: Bacteria
Description: partial 16S ribosomal RNA
Rfam family: Bacterial small subunit ribosomal RNA
Source: RNAcentral
GACGAACGCUGGCGGCGUGCUUAACACAUGUAAGUCGAACGGAAAGGCCCUGCUUGCAGGGUACUCGAGUGGCGAACGGGUGAGUAACACGUGGGUGAUCUGCCCUGCACUUCGGGAUAAGCUUGGGAAACUGGGUCUAAUACCGGAUAGGAGCCAUCUUUAGUGUGGUGGUUGGAAAGUUUUUUCGGUGUAGGAUGAGCUCGCGGCCUAUCAGCUUGUUGGUGGGGUAAUGGCCUACCAAGGCGGCGACGGGUAGCCGGCCUGAGAGGGUGUACGGCCACAGUGGGACUGAGAUACGGCCCAGACUCCUACGGGAGGCAGCAGUGGGGAAUAUUGCACAAUGGGCGCAAGCCUGAUGCAGCGACGCCGCGUGGGGGAUGAAGGCCUUCGGGUUGUAAACUCCUUUCGCUAGGGACGAAGCUUUGUUGUGACGGUACCUAGAUAAGAAGCACCGGCUAACUACGUG